UUUAUGGAGAGUUUGAUCCUGGCUCAGGAUGAACGCUGGCGGCGUGCCUAAUACAUGCAAGUCGAGCGAACGGACGAGAAGCUUGCUUCUCUGAUGUUAGCGGCGGACGGGUGAGUAACACGUGGAUAACCUACCUAUAAGACUGGGAUAACUUCGGGAAACCGGAGCUAAUACCGGAUAAUAUUUUGAACCGCAUGGUUCAAAAGUGAAAGACGGUCUUGCUGUCACUUAUAGAUGGAUCCGCGCUGCAUUAGCUAGUUGGUAAGGUAACGGCUUACCAAGGCAACGAUGCAUAGCCGACCUGAGAGGGUGAUCGGCCACACUGGAACUGAGACACGGUCCAGACUCCUACGGGAGGCAGCAGUAGGGAAUCUUCCGCAAUGGGCGAAAGCCUGACGGAGCAACGCCGCGUGAGUGAUGAAGGUCUUCGGAUCGUAAAACUCUGUUAUUAGGGAAGAACAUAUGUGUAAGUAACUGUGCACAUCUUGACGGUACCUAAUCAGAAAGCCACGGCUAACUACGUGCCAGCAGCCGCGGUAAUACGUAGGUGGCAAGCGUUAUCCGGAAUUAUUGGGCGUAAAGCGCGCGUAGGCGGUUUUUUAAGUCUGAUGUGAAAGCCCACGGCUCAACCGUGGAGGGUCAUUGGAAACUGGAAAACUUGAGUGCAGAAGAGGAAAGUGGAAUUCCAUGUGUAGCGGUGAAAUGCGCAGAGAUAUGGAGGAACACCAGUGGCGAAGGCGACUUUCUGGUCUGUAACUGACGCUGAUGUGCGAAAGCGUGGGGAUCAAACAGGAUUAGAUACCCUGGUAGUCCACGCCGUAAACGAUGAGUGCUAAGUGUUAGGGGGUUUCCGCCCCUUAGUGCUGCAGCUAACGCAUUAAGCACUCCGCCUGGGGAGUACGACCGCAAGGUUGAAACUCAAAGGAAUUGACGGGGACCCGCACAAGCGGUGGAGCAUGUGGUUUAAUUCGAAGCAACGCGAAGAACCUUACCAAAUCUUGACAUCCUUUGACAACUCUAGAGAUAGAGCUUUCCCCUUCGGGGGACAAAGUGACAGGUGGUGCAUGGUUGUCGUCAGCUCGUGUCGUGAGAUGUUGGGUUAAGUCCCGCAACGAGCGCAACCCUUAAGCUUAGUUGCCAUCAUUAAGUUGGGCACUCUAAGUUGACUGCCGGUGACAAACCGGAGGAAGGUGGGGAUGACGUCAAAUCAUCAUGCCCCUUAUGAUUUGGGCUACACACGUGCUACAAUGGACAAUACAAAGGGCAGCGAAACCGCGAGGUCAAGCAAAUCCCAUAAAGUUGUUCUCAGUUCGGAUUGUAGUCUGCAACUCGACUACAUGAAGCUGGAAUCGCUAGUAAUCGUAGAUCAUCAUGCUACGGUGAAUACGUUCCCGGGUCUUGUACACACCGCCCGUCACACCACGAGAGUUUGUAACACCCGAAGCCGGUGGAGUAACCUUUUAGGAGCUAGCCGUCGAAGGUGGGACAAAUGAUUGGGGUGAAGUCGUAACAAGGUAGCCGUAUCGGAAGGUGCGGCUGGAUCACCUCCUUU
This 1552-nucleotide ribosomal RNA is filed under the name Staphylococcus aureus. RNAcentral's name for it is "16S ribosomal RNA". It matches the Rfam family "Bacterial small subunit ribosomal RNA". Lineage: Bacteria; Bacillati; Bacillota; Bacilli; Caryophanales; Staphylococcaceae. The record is from RNAcentral.